AGAAGAAAUUUGGCUGCGUGUGGGGAAAGAGAAGGGUUGAAGAUUAGUCAAGAUGGUGGGUAGAGAAUCUGAGGAGAUGAAGACAAAAAGUAAGCAGACUGGAUCUUGGAAAGAAGGAGGCUUCCAGCCGGUGAGCGAUGGCCUUGUUACUCGGGCGUCACAAACUUGGUUUUAAAAACAAAUUUCUGCCGAAGAAGAGUAUCUAUUUUCCCAGUAAGGGUCCCUCACACCCUGUGCCAUCAUCACUGAGGUCUAGAUCGAAAAAGACACCAAGGUAGAAGAACCAACUUCCAGGAAUACAAGUCUCCGCGCAUCCGUUCCGCACUAUCCGGUUGCCACAAGGACUGUCCUCCACGUCCGCGCGCUAGGUCGGCUGCUCCUCAGUGCCAUGCGCCCUAGAAACCCAGCUCUCGGGGUAAUUCUAUUCAGAAAGAGCCGGAGGAAGCAGAGACCCACCUGUCUUUGUGCAUGAAGAGUUAUCUGACAAAGGGCACUAAAUCAUAGAUUCUGGAACGUUGCUAAUACCGAAUAAAAACAAAUGGAACGCUUACGCCAUUAUACACACAUACUAUAAACACCUAGGAAGAGCCAGACCUACAGAGCCCGGCUAGCUCAGUCGGUAGAGCAUGAGACUCUUAAUCUCAGGGUCGUGGGUUCGAGCCCCACGUUGGGCGCUUCCCUUUUACUAUUUUUUUUUUUUUUUUAAAAACCCUACCCUUUGUAGUUUUGAUUCUCUCAGUUGGGAACAGAAUCAUGAGCAUCUAAAUUUUUAUUUACACCACUGUUGUUUUAAAUUUCAGUAAACUGGUCUUAGGAGGUGAAGGCACAAGGUAAUCAGCCUGGGUUAAAUGAAUCCUUGACUGAAAAAAAAUAACAAAAUAAAAAUCCCUCCAACAAUACAAUAACAAUUAAUAAUGAUAACAAUGAAAAAACAAACCUGCAAAUGACUCCAAAACUUUACCCCAUUUAUGCCAAACUCUGGAUUUACAAAUAAUCCAGCCAGGGGUUUCAGAGUCGUGGGAGACCUGGGUCCCUGUUCCAUGCCAACCCAUCCCUUCACAUCAUCCAGAACUCUGCUGUAAGAAGGCCUUUAGCUGGACACAACUUGUUCUUUGAUGCUUGGGAAAUUAAAUUAUUCAUUCAUACAUAUAAAAUUAAGUGAAACUUUCAAGAACGAGGACUACUUAAAAUAGGCAAUUAUUUCUAUCAAAAGAUUGAUGACUUUUGUAAGAAAACACAUCUUAGUACAUACACAAGCACAUUAGGAAUGAUAUCCAAGCAAUUCAAAUUCUUACAACGAAAGGGCCCACUGCAGGCUCUGAGUAAUAGGUAAAACUAAGAAAUUUAACUUCAAAAGAGUAGGGGCAAACAAGAGUGUGUGGACUUCUGUGAAGGGAGAUGAGUGAACAAAUAAUGAAGGAUCGGAACAGCAUCUGUCUUUCCAUGAUGUUGACACAUUUAGCCUGUAACCAAGUCUGCCCUCAGGCCGUGUUGGUUUCUGGGUUCACUGGAACCAAAUAGCAUCCUUAGAAAAACCGCAGCAAUUUCUACCCAGGCCAGCACGUUAUUAAUGGAGUUAUUUUGUGCACUGGAGAUCAAAUCCAGGACUUUUGAGUUCAUUAUGUAAACUGCUCUCUCAUUCAGCUAAGUCCUCAACCCCACCAAACCCUUUUUACUUUUUAUUGGAGACAAAAGUCCCACCUAUUUGCCCAGGCUGGACCGGAACUCAUUUUGCAGCCCAGUCUAGCCCUAGAGAUACGGUGCUUCUGUGUCAGCCUCCUAUGUUGGAAAUCUUUAUUUUCUAUCUAGAGGGUGAGAGGAAUGAGCAAAGCUAAAAAAACAUAAUAGGUUAAGAAGUUAAAAUCGCUAUUAGAAUUAACAGUGGUGGUGUUUGUCACACUUGUGACUAGGACUAGGACGGUGCUCUAUUUCUGCUCAGAUGUGUGUGUGUGUGUGUGUGUGUGUGUGUGUGUGUGGCUCUAUUUCUGCUCAGAUGUGUGUGUGUGUGUGUGUGUGUGUGUGUGUGUGAGAGAGAGAGAGAGAGAUAGAGAGAGAGAGAGAGAGAGAGAGAGAGAGAGAGGAGAGACAGACAGACAGACAGACAGACAGACAGAGACAGAGACAGAGACAGAGAGACAGAGAUGUUGGGACCUACUUUGGUGUUUCCCUUCUCCCUCGCUGAGCCUUUUAGCCUGCUAUAGCAAUAAGUUUUUUACACCCUUGGGAGCUGCUCUUAGCCCCUGAUUUGGGGCUGGGAUUUUCCAUGGCACCCUUCCUCCCCCCCUAGCCUGUUUAAGAAGUUGUUUAUGCCCCUGAUUGGGCUCGGGACUUUCUACCACACAGACCUUUCUUGUUUUCCUGGUUGGGGAUUUUCACCUGCCUUGUUUUCCACGGCUUUUGCCUCAGGUAUAUAAGGAGAUCUCAGUAAAGCCUUGGUGGUACUCGCUGGAAACGGGUGACCCGUGUACGUGUUUUUCUUUUUAAUACACAGGCCCUCGCCGACUCGGGGUAACAGGUUAGCUAUGCAGGCGUAGCUGACACAGAGAGAGAGACAGAGAGACAGAGACAGAACUAUGCACAUGCAUAUGUGCAUUCUUAGAGAGGGUCUUGAUACGUCUCCCUAAGGUCCUCUGAUCUCAGCCUCCCAACUACAGAUUUUUCACCUCUCUUCCCCUUGGAGACAAGGUCUCUCUCUGUAGAGCAGGCUGCCCUUGAACUCACAGAGACCUGCCCGCCUCUGCCUUCUGAGUGCUGGGAUUACAGGGAUGCGAUACUAUGCCCAGCAAAUUUCUUGAUUUGAAGGGGAUAGCUCAGCCUGAGGUGUUUUAAUCAGAUCACCUCUACCCUGGCAGCAGUCAAUGACACUCUGCUGUUUUAUUUUCAAAAACUAGGGAGAAAUGUAACAUGCCAGAAGGUUGUCAGGCCUGGUAGUGCAGGUUUAUAAUCCCAGCUACCUCCAGAAGCAGAGGUGCAAGGGCCACAAGUCAAGGUCUUACACAUUUAGAAUGGCAGGCUUGGCCAUUCACAAAACUCCGUCUCAAAACUGAGAGUGGACAAUACCCCCACCACCACCACCACCCCAAAAAAAAGAAAAGGAAAGAAAGAGUCUAAAGUAGGUGAAUAAAUUUAAUCCCACCUCUCCUCCUUUAAAAGAGAGGGGAAAGGGAAUGAAGCUGAGAUAUGCAUCCUGCAACUGAAAAGAACUACUAUUGUAGCUAAUAUUUAAUCAACAUUCAUGUACUCCAAUGUUUCAGAGCGUUUUUCAUCAAAUGUGGGGUGACAUUUGCAAAGGAAGUUUUCCUACUAACCUUUUUUCUACAGUUGGGAAAUUGGGUAAUUUCUUCAAAGUCAUAUUCUGAGGGAAGUGGGAGAGGGCUGGAUGGGGGACCAGCAUGCAAUAACGUCAUUACAUGUGUGAAGCAGAGAAAUAGAUAUUUCGAGGUUCUGGAGUACAUUCUGAGACCCCAAACAUGGACUAUAGAAAAGCUUUUAUAGUAGCAGGUUAGAAGCUUUCGUGGAGUGUGUGUCUUCCGGGUAUUAUUUAAGGACGCUUAAUGGCCAGAGAAGAGAAUUUUAACUAGGCAAAAGGCACCGUCCCUGGGUGGGCUCGAACCACCAACCUUUCGGUUAACAGCCGAACGCGCUAACCGAUUGCGCCACAGAGACAUGCAGGGUAAGGGCUGUAAAUCCUUUUGCUAGUCUUAGAAUAUAUUUUUGACUUCCGGUCUUUUUAACUAUUUCCCGCUUUUGUGGCUUGUCCAACUCGCACUAUUCUAGAAACUGAAUCCCGACACUGAGAACAGUAGCGGUCUUCAGCAAAUUUGCAUAUUAAUCCUGUGGAACUCGGCUCGUGCCCCAGACCUCCUCCCAACACGGAGUUCCAGUUUCUCAGUCUCAACAGUCGCCUGCCCUCUACUGGUCACCACCGCCGCUCACUUGCCCACUCAGGUCGCGUCCCCGCCGCUUGCCCUGCAGCUUCACCUUUCCCAGAGCACGCGGAGCACCUAGGGACACAGCCGCACAUGCACACGGAGAGAAAGAUUCCACCAUAUGGCUUCAAAAGAAAAAAAUGUCCUAGAGGCCUUUUAGUCCUACGAGGACUACAGAAUGAGAAAAAGCAAACCUGUUUUUUGGAGGAGUUUUCUACCUUUCUGAGUUGUUAGAAUCUGGCAAGGGUCCUCACUUGGGAACUCCAUGUGCACUAAAACCAAACCCAUUUCCCCGCCUCUCAAGGUCAAGUGGCCUAGUCCUUGGGUCUCCUCCAGUGGCUUGUGUGAACUAUGGGGUGUUGAAAACAAAAAGCCUCGCCUAUUAUCCAGGCUUAUAAUCCACAGACUCUGGUGGGCUGAGGCAAGAGGGUCACAAACGCAAGUCCAGCCUGGACUACAUUCACCUUGUGCAAUUUAGUAACAACUCACCACAAAAAUCAAAGGUUAAAAAGGAUUGCAGACAGCUCAAUGGAAGAGCGCCCACAACCUAAUCAAGGACGCAAUUAAACCUCGGAACUGGGCCACUCCAAGGGAGUAAGCACGGUUAACUGGUCAGUUUUAAAGUUCUGGGCAGAGAUAACGGAAAGGUGGAGAAGCCUUGUCAGUUUUAAGGGGAGCAGAUACUGCAGGGGAGAGAAGUGUGCAAGUCAAACCAGCCUGGAACUGGAUGUUACAGGUGUGUGGUAAUGGGGACAUAGGAGCCUGGGAAGUGUGGGGACUUCGAUGAGGGUUUAUAUACGGAACUAAAUGCCCGGCUGUUGGAGGUGUUGGUUGUAAGUACAGAUAAGGGGAGUUUUUUGUUUUGUUUUGUUUUGUUUUGCUUGUUUGGUUUAGGUGUUUGACACAGGCCUGCAGAUAAGGAAUGUCCUUACAGACACCGGUAGUAUAGAUUCUAUCGAAAGUACUGAGAGAAAUAAUAGUAGAAAGAUGGCAGAAUUGGGCUAUCUCUGGAAAAUACGAUGCUUAGUAUAGGACGUUGGUGAACAUCGAUGCCAGGAAGAAGAGGGAUGUGAGAACACUGGGGACAGAGGCAGCCACAUCUGACAUGAAAUUUCAACCUCGAGAUUUGAAACUAGGGUAGCAUGGCUCCUAAAAAACAUCCUCAAAACCUCCUUGCCGCUUUACCACUGCAAAGAAAGUCCACUGUGUAUUUGUUUAAAACCAGAGGAGAGAUCAUGUAACAGGCAUAAGACCGGCCCGAAUGCCCUCAUGAUCUGCUGGCCACCCCAUAAUGUUGUCUUACAUCUGCCUCCAAAUAGCCCUCUUGGAGCAAAGCGGAUCACAAGGGUGGCGACCCAUGCCUUGAAUCUCAGCACAGAGGCAGGUGGCUCUCUGUGAGUUUGAGGCUGUCCUGGUCUACAAAUCCAGGUCAAGGCCAGUCAGGGCUAUUGCCUAGAGAAACCCUGUCUCAAAAAUCAAAACCCCAAAGCCAAAGACAACAAUAACAAAAACGAAAACAAACAAUGAAUCACCCAAAAUGACCAGAACAAAACCCUUCUGAGCUUCAAUCCCAGUCCUGGGGUGCAGAGGCAGGUGGAUGGACCACAGAGGGUUCUAGGCCAUCUUGAACUACUUUGUGUGCAACAAAAAACUAAACAAUAAAACCGUUUUUUAUCA
Rattus norvegicus (Norway rat) is the source of this 5606-nucleotide non-coding RNA. The record is from RefSeq and is a predicted model, not a curated record. NCBI's taxonomy places the organism in Eukaryota, Metazoa, Chordata, Mammalia, Rodentia, Muridae.